RNA transcript from Tachysurus vachellii, 2317 nucleotides. It is a transcript of the gene named coiled-coil domain containing 172, with no coding region annotated. Lineage: Eukaryota; Metazoa; Chordata; Actinopteri; Siluriformes; Bagridae. The record is from RefSeq and is a predicted model, not a curated record. The transcript has 6 exons.
CACUGAACAGAACCGUUAAUUCCUUCACCAAACAAGUCGUUUAGGCAAACCGUUUGAGAAAAAUUGUAAAGAAAUAUGAGUUCAGAUGUUAAUGAUGUGAGUCUGGAUUCUCUGUAUCAGCAGAUUUUGUUAGCUGAACAACAAACAUCCGAAAACACAGGAAAGCUUCAUGAAGUAAAAUCAUCCAUCAUUAAGGCUGAGAAGGAAAUCAAGUCCUUCACCGAGAAGCUGGAGCGUGCGUAUACUGAACUGGACGAGAAGGCUCAGCUGGAGUCUGAAAUUUUGCUGCAGCUAAAACUGAACAAGAGACAACAAGAAGAAAUGGAGAAGAAAAAGAAGGACUUGCUCGAGCAACAGAAUGGGCUCAGAGAGGAGAUGGAGCGAAUACAAAGAGAGAUAGCAGAGGAGAAAGAGAAGUUUAUGAACAUGAUCAGAACCUUCAACAGCGACUUUAACCUGCUGAAAAACAGGGACCUUGUCUUCCACCACCAGACCAAAUCUGAAAUACAGACUCUCCAGUCAGAAUCUGAGGCACUAAGCAAAGAGAUAGAGAGGCUGAAGCAAGAAAAGACGCAGCUGAUCACUUUGCAAACCGAGCAACAAUCUUUAAGUGCCGAGCUUAAGGGGCUGCACUCACAACUAACAGGUGAAAACAAGAUUCUGCCUAAAACCCGGUUACUUUUUGAAAGCGCCGUGCCGACUGGAGAGCGUUUUGAUAUUGUACGUGUGCACAGAUGUGGAGAGGGAGCUGGAGGAGGCAGUGGCACACACCGAGUCACUGAAGAUCGAAAGGGAAACAGCCAUUCAGAAACCUCAGACAGACAGCACCUGCCUCAGGUAAGCUCGUGUACGCGUCAAGGCUCCUGGGACGGAACGAAAGGCGCGGUCAAUACGUCAAAUACCCAUCAGAGUGUAGAUGCGGUUUAUUAACCCUGAAUCAGAAUCUUUUUGACCCACACGCAGCCCCCUCAUUCAUCUCUGUGUCCGUACGUCUCUCAGUAAAUAACACGACUCCAGAUCCAUCCCUUUAAUUAAGCCUUUGAUAUAUAUUACCCAUGUUAUCCGGUCUGGAGUCAGGUCCCACUUCACAACAACAUCUAGUUGCUCUAUCAUGUCCCCGAUGAAGGGGACGGGAUCAAUAGAUAGCGUGUCUCUGGCAGGAAGCUGUUUCGCCUACAGCUGUGUAAAUCAUACACACGCCCAUCGAUGUUCACACAAAUCUCUCUCAUUAGCAUCCUGCCGGAUCACAGCCCUGGGAGGUGCUGAAGACGCAGCCAGCGUGGCGGUUCUUCUUCAGGGUGUAACCGUAAAUCACUUUCAAAUAGCUGUUGCUUCAUACACGGGGUAUCGACCGCGCGAAAUCGAACGCUGAAACGUCUUCGAAACAGGCGGCAUGUAAAAAUGGGUCGAAUGAAAUGGAUUAGGAGCUACUACAUUGACAUGCUGCAUCAAAACAAUAAUACACAAGUCAAAAUGAAAGUCUACGACUUACAGGGCGGGUUUAAAGAAAAUGAACGUAAGGCUUCUCAACGUGGGACAGAAAUAAUGAAUCUAAUUAAAGUGCAACACAGAACAGGUCAACACAUUAGGAUAAUCAAGCGAAACCAUAGCAAAUGCAUACAGAGUGAUCUGAGAAGAGAAAACACUUCAACAGUUGCUUGUAAUAAACAUUCAUUCAUUCAUCUUCUACCGCUUAUCCGAACUACCUCGGGUCACGGGGAGCCUGUGCCUAUUUCAGGCGUCAUCGGGCAUCAAGGCAGGAUACACCCUGGACGGAGUGCCAACCCAUCGCAGGACACACACACACACACACACUCUCAUUCACUCACGCACUCACACACUAGGGACAAUUUUCCAGAGAUGCCAAUCAACCUACCAUGCAUGUCUUUGGACCGGGGGAGGAAACCGGAGUACCCGGAGGAAACCCCCAAGGCACGGGGAGAACAUGCAAACUCCACACACACACAAGGUGGAGGUGGGAAUCGAACCCCCAACCCUGGAGGUGUGAGGCGAACGUGCUAACCACUAAGCCACCGUGCCCCCCUUGUAAUAAACAAUUCGUUCUUAAAAAAUGACAACUGCAGAGUCACAUUGCCUCACUGUUACUGUUGCUUAGCCACUCGUGUGUGUGUGUGUGUGUGUGUGUGUGUGUGUGUGUUUGUACGGAAGACUGAAGAAAGAUCUAGAAGCACAUAAGGAGCUGGAGAUGCUGCAUGCGACCCUCAGCACAGAAAUUCACGUCUUGCUUUCGGAAUUAUCACAGAAGCCGAAGGCGUGACGAGCUACUCAGGUCGCUUUCGUUCAGCAGUUACACGAG